This 310-nucleotide unclassified non-coding RNA is filed under the name Oryza sativa (Asian cultivated rice). RNAcentral describes it as "partial microRNA MIR498a precursor". The record is from RNAcentral. Lineage: Eukaryota; Viridiplantae; Streptophyta; Magnoliopsida; Poales; Poaceae.
AGCUCAUUCAUACAAUAGUACAUACUACACUAUUAAUACCUAGUCCCACAUGUCAUACACACCUUGCGUCUUGGAGUCCGUGCUACAGCUGGCUACAAAUCUGUAGCCCGCUGCUUUUCUCUCACCUUAUUUAUCUAAGAGCAGGUACAAUAGCAGGCAGCUGCAAACAUAUUUUAAGCAGAUAAAUGAGAAGAGAGAAUGACAGCGGGCUACAGAUCUGUAGCCAGCUGUAACACGGACUCCAAGACGCAGUGUGUGUAUGACAGGUGGGACCAGAUAUUAAUAAUGUAGUAUGUAACUAUCGUAUGAA